UUUAACAAAUAAUGUGCGGGUCGCUAUGCGGCGUGCACACGUUGAUGAGCUUUUCCGAAAAAACCAGGUUUUUUUGGUGGCGCAUAAUGAACAGCGUGGGCUUUUUCUUUCGAUUCUCGUGUAGUAAGUAAAUUUUCGACGCUUGGGUUGAGAAAAAGUGCGUGCCGCGCAAUGGGUGUGGCGAAUUUACCCCUGCCCCAAUGCCACUCUUUCCCUGCGAAAGAAGAUUUUUUAU
Molecule: unclassified non-coding RNA, 235 nt
Filed under: uncultured Paraglomus
Lineage: Eukaryota; Fungi; Glomeromycota; Glomeromycetes; Paraglomerales; Paraglomeraceae
Description: partial internal transcribed spacer 2
Source: RNAcentral